This 520-nucleotide long non-coding RNA is filed under the name Brassica napus (rape). RNAcentral's name for it is "long non-coding RNA (BNAP_LNC005904)". Lineage: Eukaryota; Viridiplantae; Streptophyta; Magnoliopsida; Brassicales; Brassicaceae. The record is from RNAcentral.
AUUUACCAUUAUUUUGAAAGAAAAAAGGACAUUGAUCUAUAUGCUGAAUGUUUCGGAGUAUUUGUUGUUCAUGGUUAUCUCAUUAUACUUCAUUUGAAAUACGAAUUUUUAGCCUUGUUUGAAUGCAACAAAACUUGAAAAUGUGCAGUAAUAUCUAUAUGAUUUCGUUUCGACAGUUAAACCUAAGAUCUAGUUAUAUUAUUUUAUUAGAACAAAAGUAAAGAAAAGCAAAGAUAAUGUAAGGAAAGAGACGAGGGAGAAUAAAGUGGAGAUUGGAAAUGUGAACCCAUUUGGUGUUGGCAGUGAGUGAGAUGGAACAUCACAUGCACUUAUGCUCUCUUUUGUCCCUUUGCUCUUGGAGCUUUCACUUCUCAAAAACCUUCUUCUCUGUUUUUUCCUUGCGACUCUAAUCCAACCCCACUUCGUAUUUAAUUCUUAAAGGUCCUUUUUUUAUCGUAAUCAUGACUUAUAACUAAUGAUAUGCUAAUUUGAUCUACCAUGCAUAUAGUCUCAACUCUCA